GACGAACGCUGGCGGCGUGCUUAACACAUGCAAGUCGAACGGUAAGGCCCUUCGGGGUACGACGAGUGGCGAACGGGUGAGUAACACGUGGGUGAUCUGCCCUGCACUUCGGGAUAAGCCUGGGAAACUGGGUCUAAUACCGGAUAGGACCAUGGACUUCACGGUUUGUGGUGGAAAGCUUUUGCGGUGUGGGAUGGGCCCGCGGCCUAUCAGCUUGUUGGUGGGGUAAUGGCCUACCAAGGCGACGACGGGUAGCCGGCCUGAGAGGGUGUCCGGCCACACUGGGACUGAGAUACGGCCCAGACUCCUACGGGAGGCAGCAGUGGGGAAUAUUGCACAAUGGGCGCAAGCCUGAUGCAGCGACGCCGCGUGAGGGAUGACGGCCUUCGGUUGUAACCGUACUUUCAAUAGGACGAAGACGCAAGUGACGGUACCGUAUAGAAGAAGACACCGGCCAACUACGUGCCAGCAGCCGCGGUAA
RNAcentral lists this ribosomal RNA (481 nucleotides) under uncultured bacterium. RNAcentral describes it as "bacterial SSU rRNA". It matches the Rfam family "Bacterial small subunit ribosomal RNA", at positions 28 to 523 of the family's 1533-position model. The record is from RNAcentral.